RNAcentral lists this ribosomal RNA (264 nucleotides) under uncultured archaeon. Its description in RNAcentral is "partial 16S ribosomal RNA". It matches the Rfam family "Archaeal small subunit ribosomal RNA", at positions 719 to 982 of the family's 1478-position model. The record is from RNAcentral.
AGUCACUGACAUUAGAUACCCGGGUAGUCCCAGCCGUAAACAAUGUGCGUUAGGUAUGUCGGUAACCACGUGUUACUGAUGUGCCGAAGAGAAAUCGUGAAACGCACCACCUGGGAAGUACGGUCGCAAGGCUGAAACUUAAAGGGAUUGGCGGGGAGCACCACAACAGGUGGAGCCUGCGGUUUAAUUGGACUCAACGCCGGGAAGCUCACCGGAUAGGACAGCAGAAUGAUUGCCGGGCUGAAGACCCUGCAUGACUAGCUG